RNAcentral lists this ribosomal RNA (253 nucleotides) under uncultured bacterium. RNAcentral describes it as "partial 16S ribosomal RNA". It matches the Rfam family "Bacterial small subunit ribosomal RNA", at positions 524 to 775 of the family's 1533-position model. The record is from RNAcentral.
UACGAAGGGGGCUAGCGUUGCUCGGAAUCACUGGGCGUAAAGGGUGCGUAGGCGGGUCUUUUAAGUCAGGGGUGAAAUCCUGGAGCUCAACUCCAGAACUGCCUUUGAUACUGAGGAUCUUGAGUUCGGGAGAGGUGAGUGGAACUGCGAGUGUAGAGGUGAAAUUCGUAGAUAUUCGCAAGAACACCAGUGGCGAAGGCGGCUCACUGGCCCGAUACUGACGCUGAGGCACGAAAGCGUGGGGAGCAAACAG